Molecule: ribosomal RNA, 459 nt
Filed under: uncultured bacterium
Lineage: Bacteria
Description: bacterial SSU rRNA
Rfam family: Bacterial small subunit ribosomal RNA
Source: RNAcentral
AUUGAACGCUGGCGGCAGGCCUAACACAUGCAAGUCGAACGGUAGCACAGAGAGCUUGCUCUCGGGUGACGAGUGGCGGACGGGUGAGUAAUGUCUGGGAAACUGCCUGAUGGAGGGGGAUAACUACUGGAAACGGUAGCUAAUACCGCAUAACGUCGCAAGACCAAAGAGGGGGACCUUCGGGCCUCUUGCCAUCAGAUGUGCCCAGAUGGGAUUAGCUAGUAGGUGGGGUAACGGCUCACCUAGGCGACGAUCCCUAGCUGGUCUGAGAGGAUGACCAGCCACACUGGAACUGAGACACGGUCCAGACUCCUACGGGAGGCAGCAGUGGGGAAUAUUGCACAAUGGGCGCAAGCCUGAUGCAGCCAUGCCACGUGUAUGAAGAAGGCCUUCGGGUUGUAAAGUACUUUCAGCGGGGAGGAAGGUGUUGUGGUUAAUAACCGCAGCAAUUGACGUACC